Molecule: small RNA, 571 nt
Filed under: Pongo abelii (Sumatran orangutan)
Lineage: Eukaryota; Metazoa; Chordata; Mammalia; Primates; Hominidae
Description: processed transcript
Source: RNAcentral
AGAUGCCAGAAGAACACUGUUGCUCUUGGUGGAUGGGCCCAGAGGAAUUCAGAGUUAAACCUUGAGUGCCUGCGUCCGUGCGAAUUCAGCAUGGAAUGUCUCUACUAUUUCCUGGGAUUUCUGCUCCUGGCUGCAAGAUUGCCACUUGAUGCCGCCAAACAUCUAAGGAAGAGGAAGACUUUCUGGAACAGUGGAAAGAACUUGUCCUGGGAAUCAAAAGAUGUGAAUCUUGAUUUCUACUAAAGAUGACCCUAGGAUUUCAUGAUGUGCUGGGCAAUGAAAGACCUUCUGCUUACAUGAGGGAGCACAAUCAAUUAAAUGGCUGGUCUUCUGACGAAAAUGACUGGAAUGAAAAACUCUACCCAGUGUGGAAGAGGGGAGACAUGAGGUGGAAAAACUCCUGGAAGGGAGGCUGUGUGCAGGCGGUCCUGACCAGUGACUCACCAGCCCUCGUGGGCUCAAAUAUAACAUUUGUGGUGAACCUGGUAUUCCCUAGAUGCCAAAAGGAAGAUGCCAAUGGCAACAUUGUCUAUGAGAAGAACUGCAGAAAUGAGGCUGGUUUAUCUGCUGA